Molecule: ribosomal RNA, 255 nt
Filed under: uncultured bacterium
Lineage: Bacteria
Description: partial 16S ribosomal RNA
Rfam family: Bacterial small subunit ribosomal RNA
Source: RNAcentral
UACGAAGGGGGGCUAGCGUUGUUCGGAAUUACUGGGCGUAAAGCGUGCGCAGGCGGCUUCUCAAGUCAGGGGUGAAAGCCCAGAGCUCAACUCUGGAAUUGCCUUUUGAGACUGAGUGGCUUGAGUACGAGAGAGGUGAGUGGAAUUCCCAGUGUAGAGGUGAAAUUCGUAGAUAUUCGGAAGAACACCAGUGGCGAAGGCGGCUCACUGGACCGUUGUUGACGCUGAGGUGCGAAAGCGUGGGGAGCAAACAGG